RNAcentral lists this ribosomal RNA (301 nucleotides) under uncultured bacterium. RNAcentral describes it as "partial 16S ribosomal RNA". It matches the Rfam family "Bacterial small subunit ribosomal RNA", at positions 509 to 807 of the family's 1533-position model. The record is from RNAcentral.
CAGCCGCCGCGGUAAUACGUAGGGUGCAAGCGUUGUCCGGAAUUAUUGGGCGUAAAGAGCUCGUAGGCGGCUUGUUGCGUCGACUGUGAAAACCUGGGGCUCAACCCCGGGCCUGCAGUCGAUACGGGCAAGCUAGAAUUCGGUAGGGGAGACUGGAACUCCUGGUGUAGCGGUGAAAUGCGCAGAUAUCAGGAAGAACACCGGUGGCGAAGGCGGGUCUCUGGGCCGAUAUUGACGCUGAGGAGCGAAAGCGUGGGGAGCAAACAGGAUUAGAUACCCCUGUAGUCCCUGUCUCUUAUAC